Non-coding RNA from Westerdykella ornata, 95 nucleotides. NCBI's taxonomy places the organism in Eukaryota, Fungi, Ascomycota, Dothideomycetes, Pleosporales, Sporormiaceae. The record is from the annotation of a RefSeq genome assembly.
GGCCCCUUGGCGAAAUGGUAUCGCGUUGGUUUUCGGCCCUUGCCUAGCAUGAGGAGAUACACCAAAGAUUGUGGGUUCGAUCCCCAUGGGGGUCG